This 858-nucleotide ribosomal RNA is filed under the name uncultured Verrucomicrobiae bacterium. Its description in RNAcentral is "bacterial SSU rRNA". It matches the Rfam family "Bacterial small subunit ribosomal RNA", at positions 58 to 894 of the family's 1533-position model. Lineage: Bacteria; Pseudomonadati; Verrucomicrobiota; Verrucomicrobiia. The record is from RNAcentral.
CAAGUCGAACGAGACUUUUCGCUGUAGCAAUACAGUGAAAAGUUUAGUGGCGAACGGGUGCGUAACACGUGGGCAAUCUGCCGAGAAGUGGGGGAUAGCUCGCCGAAAGGCGAAUUAAUACCGCAUGUGGUCAGGAGGGACAUCCCUUCGAAACCAAAGCCGGGGCAACCUGGCGCUUUUUGAGGAGCCCGCGGCCUAUCAGCUAGUUGGUGAGGUAACGGCUCACCAAGGCUAUGACGGGUAGCUGGUCUGAGAGGACGACCAGUCACACUGGAACUGAGACACGGUCCAGACACCUACGGGUGGCAGCAGUCGAGAAUUUUUCUCAAUGGGGGAAACCCUGAAGGAGCGACGCCGCGUGGAGGAUGAAGGCUUUCGGGUUGUAAACUCCUGUCAUUUGGGAACAAGGUGCACCGGUUAACUGCCGGAGUAAUGAUAGUACCAGAAGAGGAAGAGACGGCUAACUCUGUGCCAGCAGCCGCGGUAAUACAGAGGUCUCAAGCGUUGUUCGGAUUCAUUGGGCGUAAAGGGUGCGUAGGUGGCGCUGUAAGUCGGGUGUGAAAUUUCGGAGCUCAACUCCGAAACUGCAUUCGAUACUGCGGUGCUUGAGGACUGGAGAGGAGACUGGAAUUCAUGGUGUAGCAGUGAAAUGCGUAGAGAUCAUGAGGAAGACCAGUGGCGAAGGCGGGUCUCUGGACAGUUCCUGACACUGAGGCACGAAGGCCAGGGGAGCAAACGGGAUUAGAUACCCCGGUAGUCCUGGCAGUAAACGGUGCACGUUUGGUGUGGGAGGAUUCGACCCCUUCCGCGCCGGAGCUAACGCGUUAACGUGCCGCCUGGGGAGUACGGUCGCAAGAU